AAUGGAACACCAGCUUCGAGAUUUUAUGAUCAGAGUGCCGUCGCGCAUCUUUUUCGCGCACCAUACCAUUUUGAAAAAUCGAUGAGCAUGCCAAAGAAGAAAUUUACUCCGAGAGCCACUUGGAUUGACCUUCAUUGAGAGUAAAACUUCCCCACACUAUAUUUUAUUAGAUCUGUAAAAACUUUAUCCAUUUUCUGACUAUCUGAUAAAAUAGAUACAAUUUCCCUGAAUAAUGGAUCGUCACAAAAGAUUUUUUUUUAAGGCCACUUCGUUAAAAUAGGUGUUUCCAGUACUUUCUCAUUUGGGUAUUUUACACAAAAUCUGGAAUUUUUUUUUAUGUACAUGUCAUUAUUAUCAUCUGUCCCGCGCAACCAAACCAUGCACUUUUCCCGGUCACCAAUGUUCUUAACAAGAUAUCAAGAGAGAGAGGCUGGUCCAUUAUUUGCAUAGUCCAGCCAGCUUUUUUUUUUUGACAACCUUUUUUCGUUCUCUCUCAUGAAGGAUAUGUUUUGAAAAUUAGUCUUACAAAAUACAAUUCCAAACCAACUCAUGCAGUUAUCGUCUUUUCACAGUAUUGAGGAGUCAUCCUUUUUGCUAGCCAGAGUGUUAAUUGGCAAAAGUGAAAAAUUCAUUUGUUUAAUUUUUUAAAUUAUUAACAAGUAGAACCAUGCCAACCAGUUCUGAUGAUGUACCAGAAUGCCUCAAGGAUCAUACUUAUACUAUUUCUACUCUCUGGGCAGACAUUGAUAAUAUUGGCAUCCAUUCAAUAUUUAAUUUAUGUUUGGAAAUGCAAGAAAAAGGCAUGCAUUCCUGAGGAGUCAAUGAUUGGUUGCACCUCUUAAAGAUAACUUUCUGUUAUGAGAAAAGAUGAGAUUCUUGGACUCCUGCAUAGCACCACCAGAAAGGAAAAUCCCAUCAUCAAUGUUGCAAAAUAAAAGUCUUGGACCAAUUUUAAGAUAUAUAUAUUAUACUGUAAGCUGUAUACAUAUUUAUGUAUAUCCUGUCAUUCAGCCAACAGGUUUGGAUUUAGUAUUUCUUUAAAUCUGUUUGAUAUUGUACUUGAAAACUAUUAAUCUGAGCCCCAUUAAAACAAGAGGGAGUGCAGUGGAUGAGUGGUAAGGGAAAUUUUACUUUUUUAAAAUUAAAGUAAGAAUCUAACAAAAGUAAACAUAUAAAAUAUGGUGCAUUCUCCUUAAAACUAAAACCUGGUGCAAAGGUUUAAAAUGUUGGCAAAAAAAAAGCAACAUCAAUUAAAUAUUCUUAAUUCCCUUUGCAAAACUUACUGAGAAGAACAUGCAUGUUGUUCCCUCAUAAGUUUCUUGACAAAGGAAAUCUUGUUUAUAUUAGAUUUGAAUUAUGCAAAUUAAGAAAAAAAUUAUAAUCAUUAUUUCAAAUGGUUGUAUCUAAACCUUAUGAAUUAUUUUUCAGUUAUAAGUAUAUUGAAAUGAAUGGAUAAUCAUGAAAUUGUUAAAUAAUUGCUGCUAUCAUUCCAUUGACUAAAGAACCAUAAUUUUUUUUUAAAAUUAAUUUCAAAAUGAUUUUUUUCAAGCAGAGUUCACAUAGGUCUUGAGUGAAAUUUUUCUUAUUUUUUUACUAAUGCUUCAAUUUUAUUGUAUCAUUAGUUUUUUUAUUUUUAUUACCCAGAAUAUUUUUAAAAUGAGUACACUAUUUUCAUGUAAUAAUGUAACUUGGUAUUCACACAUCAAAAUACGCUAUAAUCUUUAGGCCAUAUAGAUUUGUAUAAAUAUAAAUUAACUUGCUUAAAUACAUUGUAAAUGUAUAUUGUUUGGAUAAGAAUAAAGUUUUUCUGUAGACAA
Biomphalaria glabrata is the source of this 1817-nucleotide long non-coding RNA. RefSeq lists it as uncharacterized. Lineage: Eukaryota; Metazoa; Mollusca; Gastropoda; Planorbidae. The record is from RefSeq and is a predicted model, not a curated record. The transcript is spliced from 4 exons.